RNAcentral lists this ribosomal RNA (467 nucleotides) under uncultured bacterium. RNAcentral describes it as "partial 16S ribosomal RNA". It matches the Rfam family "Bacterial small subunit ribosomal RNA", at positions 29 to 507 of the family's 1533-position model. The record is from RNAcentral.
ACGAACGCUGGCGGCGUGCUUAACACCUGCAAGUCGCACGGAAAGGCCCUGCUUUUGUGGGGUGCUCGAGUGGCGAACGGGUGAGUAACACGUGAGUAGCCUGCCCUUGACUUUGGGAUAACUUCAGGAAACUGGGGCUAAUACCGGAUAGGAGCUCCUGCUGCAUGGUGGGGGUUGGAAAGUUUCGGCGGUUGGGGAUGGACUCGCGGCUUAUCAGCUUGUUGGUGGGGUAGUGGCUUACCAAGGCUUUGACGGGUAGCCGGCCUGAGAGGGUGACCGGCCACAUUGGGACUGAGAUACGGCCCAGACUCCUACGGGAGGCAGCAGUGGGGAAUAUUGCACAAUGGGCGGAAGCCUGAUGCAGCAACGCCGCGUGCGGGAUGACGGCCUUCGGGUUGUAAACCGCUUUCGCCUGUGACGAAGCGUGAGUGACGGUAAUGGGUAAAGAAGCACCGGCUAACUACGUG